UACGAAGGGGGCUAGCGUUGCUCGGAAUGACUGGGCGUAAAGGGCGCGUAGGCGGUUUGUACAGUCAGGUGUGAAAUUCCCGGGCUCAACCUGGGGGCUGCACUUGAUACGUAUGACUGGAGUGGGGAAGAGGGUCGUGGAAUUCCCAGUGUAGAGGUGAAAUUCGUAGAUAUUGGGAAGAACACCGGUGGCGAAGGCGGCGACCUGGUCCUUGACUGACGCUGAGGCGCGAAAGCGUGGGGAGCAAACAGG
This 252-nucleotide ribosomal RNA is filed under the name uncultured bacterium. RNAcentral describes it as "partial 16S ribosomal RNA". It matches the Rfam family "Bacterial small subunit ribosomal RNA", at positions 524 to 776 of the family's 1533-position model. The record is from RNAcentral.